CCCCUAGAUGUUCUGGGCCGCACGCGCGCUACACUGAACAGUUCAACAAGUCUUAACCUUGGCCGAUAGGUCUGGGUAAUCUUUGAACGCUGUUCGUGAUUGGGAUAGACCUUUGCAAUUAUGGGUCUUCAACGAGGAAUUCCUAGUAAACGCAAGUCAUCAGCUUGCGUUGAUUACGUCCCUGCCCUUUGUACACACCGCCCGUCGCUCCUACCGAUUGAAUGGUCCGGUGAAGCGUUCGGACCGUGGCCUUUGGACGGUUCGCCGUCUGUUGGCUGCGGGAAGUUCGUUAAACCUUAUCAUUUAGAGGAAGGAGAANUCGUANCA
RNAcentral lists this ribosomal RNA (327 nucleotides) under uncultured eukaryote. RNAcentral describes it as "partial 18S ribosomal RNA". It matches the Rfam family "Eukaryotic small subunit ribosomal RNA", at positions 1470 to 1796 of the family's 1831-position model. The record is from RNAcentral.